Molecule: non-coding RNA, 442 nt
Organism: Paramuricea clavata
Lineage: Eukaryota; Metazoa; Cnidaria; Anthozoa; Malacalcyonacea; Plexauridae
Source: the annotation of a GenBank genome assembly
AAAAUUACGAUGUUAUACGAUAAUUUAGUAGAUUCUGCUAUUGUAUUUUCAGGUAAUACUGCCAAUAUUUUAGAGUUUUUGCUCAAAACGCUUGCGAAAGCUUACGAACGGUUGCUUUCGCAAGAAGCAUGACGUGAAAGGUUUUAAAACUCUUCGUAUGUACACGUAUCGUUCACGUUCGAUAGAAUACAAUUCACAAUUAAUUUUAGCCACUAGUUGAUCUUUUCAGUUGAAAAUCAAGAAAUGCUCAACUUGAAUUUGUAUUUUUUUAACGAAUCCUUACGAGAAGUUGUCUUGGCCAGCCGGUCAAAAAAAAAUCAAAGUUGGGACGAAACUUUUUCGACUAUUGCGCUCAACAAACGUUCGAGCGAGUCGUAUUUUGAUUCAAAGGCCAAGAAGUAAAAUAUGUUUACGGCUCAGAAUUACUUCAAUUGAAUGCCUU